RNAcentral lists this ribosomal RNA (292 nucleotides) under uncultured bacterium. RNAcentral's name for it is "partial 16S ribosomal RNA". The record is from RNAcentral.
GGACUACUGGGGUAUCUAAUCCUGUUUGCUCCCCACGCUUUCGCGCCUCAGUGUCAGUUACAGACCAGGAAGCCGCCUUCGCCACUGGUGUUCCUCCAUAUCUCUACGCAUUUCACCGCUACACAUGGAAUUCCACUUCCCUCUUCUGCACUCAAGUUGACCAGUUUCCAAUGACCCUCCACGGUUAAGCCGUGGGCUUUCACAUCAGACUUAAUCAACCACCUGCGCGCUCUUUACGCCCAAUAAUUCCGGAUAACGCUUGCCACCUACGUAUUACCGCGGCUGCUGGCAC